RNAcentral lists this ribosomal RNA (497 nucleotides) under uncultured bacterium. Its description in RNAcentral is "partial 16S ribosomal RNA". It matches the Rfam family "Bacterial small subunit ribosomal RNA", at positions 28 to 507 of the family's 1533-position model. The record is from RNAcentral.
GAUGAACGCUGGCGGCGUGCCUAAUACAUGCCAGUCGAGCGAACGGACGAGAAGCUUGCUUCUCUGAUGUUAGCGGCGGACGGGUGAGUAACACGUGGAUAACCUACCUAUAAGACUGGGAUAACUUCGGGAAACCGGAGCUAAUACCGGAUGAUAUUUUGAACCGCAUGGUUCAAAAGUGAAAGACGGUCUUGCUGUCACUUAUAGAUGGAUCCGCGCUGCAUUAGCUAGUUGGUAAGGUAACGGCUUACCAAGGCAACGAUGCAUAGCCGACCUGAGAGGGGGAGCGGCAAAACGGGAAGUGAGACAGGGUCAAGACGACUAGGGGAGGCAGCAGGGGGGAAUGUUCAGAAAUGGGAGAAAGACUGAAGGACCAAGGUCUGGUGAGUGAAGAAGGUCUUAAGAAAGUAAAACCCUGUUAAGAGGGAAGAAAAAAUGGGCAAGUAAAUAUGAAGUGCGGGACGGUAACUAAUAAGAAAGAAACGGCUAACUACGUG